GUCCUCUUGAAAAGAAUUUGAGGUCUAGUCUGCUCACUGAUAUGGAUUGAAGAGCCGCGGUAUUUUGACCGUGCAAAGGUAGCAUAAUCAUUAGUCUCUUAAUUAGGGGCUGGAAUGAAUGGUUUGAUGAGGAAUAAACUGUCUUUUAUUAAUUUUUAGAAUUUAACUUUUGAGUUAAAAGGCUUAAAUUUUUCUUUAGGACGAGAAGACCCUAUAGAGCUUAACAUUUUACUUUAUAUAUUUUUUAGUUGAUUUUUUUAUAUAAAAUAUUAAUGUUUGGUUGGGGUGACAUGAAGAAUAAUUAAACUCUUCAUUAUUAAAUCAUUAAUUUAUGUUUAUUAUGAUCCAUAAUUCAUGAUUAUAAGAUUAAGUUACCUUAGGGAUAACAGCGUAAUUGUUUUUAAGAGUUCAUAUCAACAAAAUAGAUUGCGACCUCGAUGUUGGAUUAAGAAAAAUUUUGGGUGCAGUAACUCAAUAAUUAGGUCUGUUCGACCUUUAAAUUCUU
Molecule: ribosomal RNA, 505 nt
Filed under: Coscineuta coxalis
Lineage: Eukaryota; Metazoa; Arthropoda; Insecta; Orthoptera; Acrididae
Description: partial 16S ribosomal RNA
Rfam family: Archaeal large subunit ribosomal RNA
Source: RNAcentral